RNAcentral lists this ribosomal RNA (504 nucleotides) under uncultured archaeon. RNAcentral's name for it is "bacterial SSU rRNA". It matches the Rfam family "Archaeal small subunit ribosomal RNA", at positions 172 to 681 of the family's 1478-position model. The record is from RNAcentral.
GGAAUGCACUGUAGUCGAAAGGUCCGCCGCCAUAGGAUGGGUCUGCGGCCGAUUAGGUUGUUGUUGGGGUAACGGCCCAACAAGCCUGUAAUCGGUACGGGUUGUGGGAGCAAGAGCCCGGAGAUGGAUUCUGAGACACGAAUCCAGGCCCUACGGGGCGCAGCAGGCGCGAAAACUUUACAAUGCGGGAAACCGUGAUAGGGGAACUCCGAGUGCCCGUAAAAUCGGGCUGUCCGCCAGUUUAAAUAACUGGUGAAGAAAGGGCCGGGCAAGACCGGUGCCAGCCGCCGCGGUAAUACCGGCGGCUCGAGUGGUGGCCACUAUUACUGGGCUUAAAGCGUUCGUAGCUGGUUUGUUAAGUCUCUGGGGAAAUCUUCCGGCUUAACCGGAAGGCGUCUCAGGGAUACUGGCAGACUAGGGACCGGGAGAGGUGAGGGAUACUCCAGGGGUAGGAGUGAAAUCCUGUAAUCCUUGGGGGACCACCUGUGGCGAAGGCGCCUCACC